This 92-nucleotide transfer RNA is filed under the name Oscillospiraceae bacterium. Its description in RNAcentral is "tRNA-Ser". It matches the Rfam family "tRNA". Rfam says of the family: Transfer RNA (tRNA) molecules are approximately 80 nucleotides in length. The record is from RNAcentral. Lineage: Bacteria; Bacillati; Bacillota; Clostridia; Eubacteriales; Oscillospiraceae.
GGAGAAGUACCCAAGAGGCCGAAGGGGGCGGUUUGCUAAACCGUUAGCAGGUGUAUAGCCUGGCUCGGGUUCGAAUCCCGACUUCUCCGCCA